Molecule: long non-coding RNA, 452 nt
Filed under: Coturnix japonica (Japanese quail)
Lineage: Eukaryota; Metazoa; Chordata; Aves; Galliformes; Phasianidae
Description: lncRNA (ENSCJPG00005010546.1)
Source: RNAcentral
GAAAAGCCAUGUCUUCCUAUCCUGACUGUCAGUAAAAGAUAUUCUUCUGUUGAUUCUGUUUCAGUUCUGGAUUCAGUGUCCUCAGGGGUCAGCAAACAUCAUUUCACGGACACAAGCAACCACAGCCAGUUAUGUUCACAUAUUCUGCCAACCUAAGCCAAAUGGAGAUGCCCAGAUUCCUAGAAGGGAACUGGAAGACCUUUCUCAGUGUAGUACCUGGCUGUGCAAAGAGAGGAGCAUGUUUCUUUGGAAGAUCUCCUAACUUGGCCAAAACCAUCUUGAAGCAACCCAUCUUGAAGCAACGUAUAUAAAGAAGACGACAUAUAUAGAUACACCAGCUCUGAACAAAGACCUGCUGAGGCUAUCAUCUCAUAUAGGAAGAGACCUAUCAGAGAUGCCUAAAUGUAAGUAUAAGAAAAGAGUAAUUUCCUCCGCAUAUUCUUUUAAUUAUU